GACAUUGGAGAUUGCUGACAGGCAGCCUUUCCUACUUGCCCUGGAAGAGACCCCCGCAGAGGCAGCCCCCACUGCCUGUACCCCCUCCACCAGCUCCAUGCCUCCCCUAUCACUGGGAGCCUCCCACCUGAUGGCCUCAGAGUGCCCAGGGCUAGGGAACACCCAGGGCUGCUGGGCACAGGCAAGCCCUGUAGUGAGCCCCGGCCCCCACACUCCUGUGAGCCCUGAUUUGCGCUCCCAACCCCACUGUUAGACCCUUGUCAUCUCUGUGAGCCUUCUGUGAGUCCCUGCUCCUGCCCUGAACCCACAUCCUUCCUCCAAACUCCAGAGCCUGCACCUCCUGCUCUUCCCUGGCCUCUGACUGACUGCUACAGGGCCAGCUGGGGUCACUCCUCCCUCGCACCACCAUGCUCUUCACUGCCUGCCUUGGGCCUGACACCAGGGAGCCCCUUGGAGGAGCCAGGCCCUCCAGUGGACCCCCUCCCAGAUCCCACUGUAGGCCUAGUGUUGGGGGAGGGUUCCCCUGCUCCAAGGCCCUGCACUGGCUGGCCCCUCUGUGGUGCGUCCUUUACUUUAAACACAUGCGGACUCCCAGGAAAGCUGGGAAGUUCAUGCAAGUUCCGUGAAGGUCACGAAGUUCCCCUGCCCUGGGAUGCUGGACAAAUUCGCCCAGGCAUUCUGUAGUACGGCCCGUGGGGAGGACUCCAGCUCUCUGCUUUGGGGGGCUGUGAGUUUGGGGAGGAAGAGCCCAUCUCACAAAUGGUACCCAUACAGUGCUCGGCCAUGGCACUGGCCUGGGUCAUGGCAGAGACAGCAGUGAUCACUGCGACGGUGGGACUCCUCUGUCCUGCCACCCUGGGAGGCAGGGUCCUUCCUGCCGCAGUGGUGGGAGGUGGGUCUGGUGGCAGGUGCAUCUCCUGGCAGGAUCUGUCUGCUCUCCUCAUCUUGGCUCCACCCAUCACUGAAGCCCUCAGGGGUCUAAGCCCAGUCUAAGUCCAAGCAGCCUUAGCCACCAGGAGCGCUUUCAGCUGACUUGGUUUCCCUCCGACAGGCCCCGCUGUGUGUCUUGCUCCUGUGCACCCGCCUCGUGUUUAGGCUCCUCCUCUCCAAAGCCACCCUGUGUCCC
This 1126-nucleotide long non-coding RNA is filed under the name Marmota monax (woodchuck). The record is from RNAcentral. Lineage: Eukaryota; Metazoa; Chordata; Mammalia; Rodentia; Sciuridae.